RNAcentral lists this unclassified non-coding RNA (3829 nucleotides) under Bactrocera tryoni. RNAcentral describes it as "probable ATP-dependent permease, transcript variant X1". Lineage: Eukaryota; Metazoa; Arthropoda; Insecta; Diptera; Tephritidae. The record is from RNAcentral.
AUGAUUAUUUCCAAAGAUCUCUUCAUAUUCGGCGAACAAAUUUUUGCAACAAUCAUCCCAGAAAGCGGAUCGUCACCGACCGCACAGCAACAAUCGUCAGCGACAACGCAACAACAACAAGUAUCGUCCCAGGAUCCUGUCGCAAUUAUAAAUACAACAACAGCAUUUACGACCGACAUCGAGGCAGCGGCUGAAAUACUGCCCACUUUGAAUGCAGCUGAUGCAACAACAAAAUCAACAAAGAAACCAUCAACAAAGGAACUCAAAAGCGGUGCAGCAACUACAGCAACGAUCGCCUUCGGAGCAGCUGAUUCCAGUGUACUUUUGGAUGCAAAAUUGCAUCAAGCCCCAAAGGAAGUGCAGCUAAAUAAUAUACAAUACCGCCAUCAAUUGCAACGACAACAGCAACCGCAGCAGCAGCAAAUGAGAACAAGAAGCAGAGAAAGCCAACAAAAGAGUCAAAGCGGCGGCGAAAACGGCUACAGGACAAAUAAGUUGUUGUAUACGAAUAGCACGGGAAAGCGACAACAACAGCAACAACACGAACGCUUGCUGAACAGUUUCGGCACGACGGCCGCGACCACAACAACAGCGACCGCGUCAGCGACAGGAAACCACGCGGCGACAUCGGUGAUCAUUCAGCUAGAGGAAGACGCCAACGGCAAGAAGAAGCCAUUAAUGAAGAGAAACUUCACAAAGAUAAUUGCAAAGCCGCUAAUUGCAGCAACAGCAGCCACCACUGGUACUAACAUUGGCAUUGGCAGUGGCAGUGGCGCGGACACGAACGGUGGCACGGUGACGAUCGCAGGCAUAGACGCAACCGCAACAGCCGCUAUUGAGGAGGCAAAUCAAACAAGCGAUUUCGCAACACACGAGGUAACGCCACUGCUGCCAGCCGACCGAACUGAACUGCAAACACAACAACAGCAGCCGCAGCCACAGUCACAGUCACAGCAACAAUUGGAGCACACAAUCGCCGAUCGUCGUCUACAACUGCAACUCCACUUGCCAGCGGCAGAGGAAGGUGUUGCCAGCGACGAUCUGCCAACCGCUUCGACCACAACAACAAGCACCGCCACUUCCGAUCGCGGCAGUUACGACACGACCGCUGUCGCCGAGUCACCUUUUGCCGGCCACAAUUCAAGUCUAAACUCCAACGAGGAUUUGCCGUCAUUGACAACAACGACAACAACAGCAACAACGGCUACAAUGAACAAAGUCAUUUUGGGCAACAACACAAGCAGCGAUCAAACAAUGUCUACAUUUCCUUUCAUAUCCGAUGCGGAACCGCACCACCGCACGCUACAGUUGUCAUUCCAGAAUAUAAACGUACUCCACAACGAGCGCCAGAUUCUCUCCGAUGUGAGUGGCUCAGUAAGGCCUGGUGAGGUUUUAGCCGUAAUGGGCCCAUCUGGCAGUGGGAAGACGACAUUGCUCGACUGCCUCAGCGGGCAGCGGCGCUUCGAUAGUGGCGGCGUCUACCUCAAUCGCGAGCCGCUCUCUAAAAAGUGGCGCCGCAAGAUCUGCUAUGUGCUGCAAGAGGAGAUAUUUUUCUCGGGACUGACCCUUAGAGAGACCGUUAUGUACACGGCAUUGUUACGGCUGCCAGAGAAAAUGCCAAAGUCGGAGAAAAUUCAAUUGGUGGAUCGUAUACUGGAAGCGCUGGAGCUAACCUUUUGUCAACACACGAAAUUUGGCGAUUACCUCAAUCGUGGACUGUCGGGUGGUGAAAAGAAGCGCGCCAAUAUCGCAUGCGAGUUAUUAACUAACCCGUUGGUGAUGUUAUUAGAUGAGCCAACAUCCGGCCUUGACAGUCAUUCUGCCAUAUCGCUCAUGAAUUUUCUUAAGCGCUACGCGGUGCAAGAGCAGAAGACUGUGGUGAUCACCGUUCAUCAGCCGUCUUCGCAAAUGUUCCACAUGUUCGAUAAGCUGUUGCUGCUCUAUAGCGGUCGCACUGCAUACUUUGGUGAGGUGAAUAAUGUUUACACGUAUUUUGAAAGUAUCGGAGUUGCCAUCAAGCCACACUACAAUCCCGCGGAUUUUGUAUUGGAACAGCUGAAGUCGUACCCUAAAAUUCGCGAAAAGCUUUUCAUAGCCGCCAAAGAAUCGCAUGGCAACUACUUGAACAGAAACUGCAUAACGGUGAACACGAACAAUCAACGCAACCAGCAGCACCACUCCAACAAGCAUCAGUUGGACAUACGACGUAAUGGCGCGGCUGGUGACACAAUGUCCCACAUUUCACCCAACACAACUACCAACAGCCCUUCCACUACCACCGAAAUCGUUCACGAGAAACCGCUCAAGCACGAUGCACUCAUCAACGAUAUCAUCAACAAUUACUACAAAGACAUACACAACAAUCACACAAACCAUAUCAAUCAUGAUGCCAUGUUGAUCAUAAAUGACCACCAGAACACCAAUGAGGAGGCGUCGCAACAGCUGUGGUAUGGACACGAUUCCCAAUCAAAUUCGAGCGCCACGUCGAGUGAUUGCCAGCGCUACGAGAGCUGCGGCGACACCGACUGGCUCGAUUAUCCGACGAGUUUUCACACGCAAUUCUGUGUGCUGUCUAGUAGAAAUUUCAAGGAGGCCAAACCGCGUAUGUUAUCCAAGUUGAAUUGGUUCCAAACGAUCGGCUUGGCACUGAUGGCUGGUUCCAUUUGGUUUCAAAUACCCCGUACCGAGGAGUUCCUACAUGAUUUGCAAGGCUGGAUGUUCUUCUCGCAGACGUACUGGAUGCUGUUUGCGCUUUUCGGCGCUUUAAAUUCAUUCCCUGCCGAGCGCGAAGUUAUCAGCAAAGAGCGUCGCUCGGGCGCCUACAGGCUUUCUGCCUAUUACUUGGCGAAAAUGUUUGGCGAACUGCCUUUGGUUGUGACGCUACCGACUGUUUACCUCAUGAUAUCCUACCCGAUGCUCGGCUGUACCAGCUUCAAACUCUUCUCCUUGAUGUUGGUCUUUUUGCUGCUUAACACAAUUGUGGCGCAAAGUGUGGGCUUCUUCAUCGGCGCCUGUUGCAUGGAUAUGAAUGUCAGCAUCACAUUGAGCGCACUCUACACACUGGCGACACAACUAUUCGGCGGCUAUUUGUCGACACGCAUCCCCGAGGGGCUCAGCUGGAUCCGCUACACCUCAAUGAUACACUACGCAUAUCAGAAUAUGCAGAUUUUAGAGUUUCGCGAAGGACCAGUGAUAAGUUGUGGCAACCCUAGUAGCUUUGAAUUCUGUAAAAGUGGUGACACGACGACCACAUUCAUUCCAUACGAGGAGAUACUCAAGGCACAAAACUCCACCUCACCGCUUUGGCUCAACACGCUUGUUUUAAUGAUGUUCUUCGUGGUAUUCCGCUGUCUCGGCUACGCGGUGCUGCGCUACUUCCGCUGCCCCAAAACGUGAUAUUCGAAAGUCCAGUGAGCUUAACGAAUAAAAGCAAACGAAAAAUCACAAAAAAAUUUUGUAACACGAUCCCAAAUAGAAUUUCGCCACGUCCACUUAUGUGUGUAUUCGGCACACGUGGAAACUGUUUCGGCCACACCCGUUGUUUGGUGUUCAGAAUCACGGUUUUUAAGAAUCGACGAACAAUCUUCGUCGGAUGUCCAAGACACCUGCUUUCAUACAUCCUAGUACAUAAAUAAUGCAGAACUAUGUUUUUUAAAUUUACACAUACUUUCAUUUUUAAGAAACCUUGUUUUUAAUAUGUGUAAUGUAUGUAUGUCAACACUAUUUUAAUGAAAAUUUUAUGGCGGUUAAAAUUGAAAGCAUCGCUCUGCUGCCCAGUAAAUCACAAAUGAAGUAUUCAAGAAUAAAAAAGCCGAACGCCCAAACAAAA